This 253-nucleotide ribosomal RNA is filed under the name uncultured bacterium. Its description in RNAcentral is "partial 16S ribosomal RNA". It matches the Rfam family "Bacterial small subunit ribosomal RNA", at positions 524 to 776 of the family's 1533-position model. The record is from RNAcentral.
UACGUAGGUGGCAAGCGUUGUCCGGAAUUAUUGGGCGUAAAGGGUGCGUAGGCGGGUCUUUAAGUCAGGGGUGAAAUCCUGGAGCUCAACUCCAGAACUGCCUUUGAUACUGAGGAUCUUGAGUUCGGGAGAGGUGAGUGGAACUGCGAGUGUAGAGGUGAAAUUCGUAGAUAUUCGCAAGAACACCAGUGGCGAAGGCGGCUCACUGGCCCGAUACUGACGCUGAGGCACGAAAGCGUGGGGAGCAAACAGG